This 254-nucleotide ribosomal RNA is filed under the name uncultured bacterium. RNAcentral describes it as "partial 16S ribosomal RNA". It matches the Rfam family "Bacterial small subunit ribosomal RNA", at positions 524 to 776 of the family's 1533-position model. The record is from RNAcentral.
UACGGAGGGUGCAAGCGUUAUCCGGAUUCACUGGGUUUAAAGGGCGCGUAGGCGGCGGCGUAAGUUCGUGGUGAAAUCCCAUCGGCUCAACCGUGGAAUUGCUUCGAAUACUGCGUCGCUCGAGGGAGAUAGGGGACCGCAGAACUGCCGGUGGAGCGGUGAAAUGUGUUGAUAUCGGCGGGAAUGCCAGUGCCGAAAGGGGCGGUCUGGACCUCUUCUGACGCUGAGGCGCGAAAGCUAGGGGAGCGAACGGG